UACGUAGGUGGCAAGCGUUGUCCGGAUUUACUGGGCGUAAAGGGCGUGCAGGCGGUUUGUUAAGUCUAGGGUGAAAGCUCCCGGCUCAACUGGGAGAGGUCCUUGGAUACUGGCGAACUUGAGGGAUGCAGAGGAAAGUGGAAUUCCCGGUGUAGCGGUGAAAUGCGCAGAUAUCGGGAGGAACACCAAUGGCGAAGGCAGCUCGCUGGGACGGUACUGACGCUGAGGCGCGAAAGCGUGGGGAGCAAACAGG
RNAcentral lists this ribosomal RNA (253 nucleotides) under uncultured bacterium. RNAcentral's name for it is "partial 16S ribosomal RNA". It matches the Rfam family "Bacterial small subunit ribosomal RNA", at positions 524 to 776 of the family's 1533-position model. The record is from RNAcentral.